This 464-nucleotide ribosomal RNA is filed under the name uncultured bacterium. RNAcentral describes it as "partial 16S ribosomal RNA". It matches the Rfam family "Bacterial small subunit ribosomal RNA", at positions 339 to 795 of the family's 1533-position model. The record is from RNAcentral.
CUACGGGCUGCUGCAGUGGGGAAUAUUGCACAAUGGGCGCGAGCCUGAUGCAGCCAUGCCGCGUGUAUGAAGAAGGCCUUCGGGUUGUAAAGUACUUUCAGCGGGGAGGAAGGGAGUAAAGUUAAUACCUUUGCUCAUUGACGUUACCCGCAGAAGAAGCACCGGCUAACUCCGUGCCAGCAGCCGCGGUAAUACUGAGGGUGCAAGCGUUAAUCGGAAUUACUGGGCGUAAAGCGCACGCAGGCGGUGUGUUAAGUCAGAUGUGAAAUCCCCGGGCUCAACCUGGGAACUGCAUCUGAUACUGGCAAGCUUGAGUCUCGUAGAGGGGGGUAGAAUUCCAGGUGUAGCGGUGAAAUGCGUAGAGAUCUGGAGGAAUACCGGUGGCGAAGGCGGCCCCCUGGACGAAGACUGACGCUCAGGUGCGAAAGCGUGGGGAGCAAACAGGAUUAGAUACCCCAGUAGUC